Molecule: ribosomal RNA, 253 nt
Filed under: uncultured bacterium
Lineage: Bacteria
Description: partial 16S ribosomal RNA
Rfam family: Bacterial small subunit ribosomal RNA
Source: RNAcentral
GACGAACCGUGCAAACGUUGUUCGGAAUCACUGGGCUUAAAGGGCGCGUAGGCGGUCCGGCACGUCCGGGGUGAAAGCCUCCAGCUCAACUGGAGAAGUGCCUCGGAUACGACCGGACUCGAGGGGGAUAGGGGCGUGUGGAACUUCCGGUGGAGCGGUGAAAUGCGUAGAUAUCGGAAGGAACGCCGGUGGCGAAAGCGGCACGCUGGAUCCCAUCUGACGCUGAGGCGCGAAAGCCAGGGGAGCAAACGGG